UGCGUGACGAAGCCCGCGCCAAAGUAGACAAUAAAGUCUGAGCUUUGAGUAAGUCGCCUGACGCCGGUUAGCCGGCGUUUUUU
This 83-nucleotide small RNA is filed under the name Enterobacter kobei. RNAcentral describes it as "sroD RNA". It matches the Rfam family "sroD RNA". From Rfam's summary of the family: This family consists of a number of bacterial sroD RNA genes of around 90 bases in length. sroD is found in several Enterobacterial species but its function is unknown. The record is from RNAcentral. Lineage: Bacteria; Pseudomonadati; Pseudomonadota; Gammaproteobacteria; Enterobacterales; Enterobacteriaceae.